Molecule: ribosomal RNA, 1047 nt
Filed under: Bacillus sp. (in: firmicutes)
Lineage: Bacteria; Bacillati; Bacillota; Bacilli; Caryophanales; Bacillaceae
Description: bacterial SSU rRNA
Rfam family: Bacterial small subunit ribosomal RNA
Source: RNAcentral
GCAGGACGGGCGCAUCCUGCACCGAGCUGAUUAUAAGCUUGCUUCUAUGACGUUAGCGGCGGACGGGUGAGUAACACGUGGGCAACCUGCCUGUAAGACUGGGAUAACUUCGGGAAACCGAAGCUAAUACCGGAUAGGAUCUUCUCCUUCAUGGGAGAUGAUUGAAAGAUGGUUUCGGCUAUCACUUACAGAUGGGCCCGCGGUGCAUUAGCUAGUUGGUGAGGUAACGGCUCACCAAGGCAACGAUGCAUAGCCGACCUGAGAGGGUGAUCGGCCACACUGGGACUGAGACACGGCCCAGACUCCUACGGGAGGCAGCAGUAGGGAAUCUUCCGCAAUGGACGAAAGUCUGACGGAGCAACGCCGCGUGAGUGAUGAAGGCUUUCGGGUCGUAAAACUCUGUUGUUAGGGAAGAACAAGUACGAGAGUAACUGCUCGUACCUUGACGGUACCUAACCAGAAAGCCACGGCUAACUACGUGCCAGCAGCCGCGGUAAUACGUAGGUGGCAAGCGUUAUCCGGAAUUAUUGGGCGUAAAGCGCGCGCAGGCGGUUUCUUAAGUCUGAUGUGAAAGCCCACGGCUCAACCGUGGAGGGUCAUUGGAAACUGGGGAACUUGAGUGCAGAAGAGAAAAGCGGAAUUCCACGUGUAGCGGUGAAAUGCGUAGAGAUGUGGAGGAACACCAGUGGCGAAGGCGGCUUUUUGGUCUGUAACUGACGCUGAGGCGCGAAAGCGUGGGGAGCAAACAGGAUUAGAUACCCUGGUAGUCCACGCCGUAAACGAUGAGUGCUAAGUGUUAGAGGGUUUCCGCCCUUUAGUGCUGCAGCUAACGCAUUAAGCACUCCGCCUGGGGAGUACGGUCGCAAGACUGAAACUCAAAGGAAUUGACGGGGGCCCGCACAAGCGGUGGAGCAUGUGGGUUUAAUUCGAAGCAACGCGAAGAACCUUACCAGGUCUUGACAUCCUCUGACACUCUAGAGAUAGAGCGUCCCCUUCGGGGAAAGAGUGACAGGUGGUGGCAUGGUUGUCGUCAGCUCGUGUCGUGAG